This 125-nucleotide small RNA is filed under the name Marmota monax (woodchuck). The record is from RNAcentral. Lineage: Eukaryota; Metazoa; Chordata; Mammalia; Rodentia; Sciuridae.
GCAAGGCAUGGUGGCACAUACCUGUAAUCCCAGCAGCUUGGGAGGCUGAGGCAGGAUGAUUGCGAGUUCAAAGCCAGCCUCAGCAAAAGCAAGGCGCUAAGCAACUCAGUGAGAUCCUGUCUCUA